RNAcentral lists this long non-coding RNA (235 nucleotides) under Ananas comosus (pineapple). RNAcentral describes it as "long non-coding RNA (ACOM_LNC044420)". Lineage: Eukaryota; Viridiplantae; Streptophyta; Magnoliopsida; Poales; Bromeliaceae. The record is from RNAcentral.
GGAGCUGAUGAAAAAGCAUCAUCCUCACUUGUUUGAGGAAUAAGGUAGAAGUUUAAGUUUGAGUUGAGAAUUGGAUUAGUUUCGAGGACGAAACUCCUUUUUAGGAGGGGAGGAUGUAAGAAAGUGAAUUCUCGAAAUCCGAGAGUUGUACUUCGUUCAGAAUCGACUAAUUGUUGAGUAGGGGUGCUUUGGAAAAGCCGAAGAAGUCAAAAACCCAAAAAGUGCAUUGCAACGG